Molecule: long non-coding RNA, 211 nt
Filed under: Musa acuminata (dwarf banana)
Lineage: Eukaryota; Viridiplantae; Streptophyta; Magnoliopsida; Zingiberales; Musaceae
Description: long non-coding RNA (MACU_LNC009246)
Source: RNAcentral
CGCUACAGAAACAGGAUUAAACCUGCUGCGAGUCGAAUGAAGGCCAAGGACCCACUAAAGCUCAAAGCUAUUAUUCCUCCACUGCAUUGUCACUGUGGCAGAUGUAUUAACUUAAACCCAAAAGCCUGGGGUUUUCUGCCACUUUGCUCAUGCUUUCUGAGCGAUGAUGUGCUCACCGAUCUUUUUCUCUAGGAGUAGUGCUUAUUGCUGG